AAAUGGCGGUGAAAUAUCUCCUGGUCGUUGUUAGUUCUCCUUGGCAUGCCAUGUACACAAAAGGUUUCCGGUCCAACCCCUAAUGUUAAUUAAUAUUAUUAUGGAUAAAGACUACUUAAGGAAAUCAUACUUGGGCCAUAUGGAACCAGCAUUUCUGUAAUCUGACUCCGGAAAAAACGUUGGUCAACGCAUUGCUCAACCCUACUUCGUAGUCAGUGACAAUGUUACUUGCACUAAUCCCCGGAACACAAGUCUUAAUAUGGUCCAAUACACUUGUGUACGCCAUUUGAGUUUUUCGGGUCAUUAAUGCGUAUGCAACGGGAAAUGCCUGUUAAAAUAAAUAAAAUAGUUAGGGAUGGAGAUAUGAAAACGACUGCUGAUCCAGCGUCAGGAGGACCCAUGACGAACCCUCUGAACAUUUCUCGUCCAUUAGCAGUUUUGAAUAAAUGAACGUAUCGAGCAUCUACC
Molecule: long non-coding RNA, 468 nt
Organism: Metopolophium dirhodum (rose-grain aphid)
Lineage: Eukaryota; Metazoa; Arthropoda; Insecta; Hemiptera; Aphididae
Exons: 3
Source: RefSeq, a predicted model, not a curated record